Molecule: long non-coding RNA, 5552 nt
Organism: Astyanax mexicanus (Mexican tetra)
Lineage: Eukaryota; Metazoa; Chordata; Actinopteri; Characiformes; Acestrorhamphidae
Exons: 2
Source: RefSeq, a predicted model, not a curated record
UCAGCUAUCGACUAUUCCUUCGCAAUUUAUCACCAUGUAUGUCUGGAGCCUACCCACGCCCAAUUUAGAGAUAAUCUGACAAAGACUCUAGGAGGAGUUUGAAUGAGUUCGUGAAAAAUGUGUAAAAAUUCCACAAAUUUCAAAAUGGCCGACUUCCUGUUGGGCGGAGCUAAUACCAGUCAAUGGGUAAUAUGUGCGGGAUGAUACUUUCUAUGUUGUUGCCAAAAAUCGAGAAUAUUGGAGAAAUUUUGAGACAGCUACAGCUAAUUUAAUGGCCUAAAUAAAAUAGGGGGCGCUGUAGAGUCAUCUAGCUACACAUGAGAAAAACGACAAAAUAUUUCUAAAUCAUUUCAAAGACUUAUUGAAUCUGCCAAUUAUCAAGAGGCUGAGAGCUUUUUAUAAAUGUGAUAUAAAAUAGGUGGCGCUAGAGAGCUGAUGAAACACGAAUUUACGAAAUUCCAACUUAAGGUCAAAGUUUGGCCUAAGCCAAAUAGCUCUGUAAAAUUUUAGGAGAUUUCAAACAUCUUAACCCCUCCGAAACUCAGCGGGAAACUUUUUAUUUCGCAACUUCCUGUCAAAAUGGCCGACUUCCUGUUGGGCGGAGUCAAAUAAAACCAAGUGAUUCUUGUUGUUUAUGAGGAGGUCAAUGAGCGUACCAAAGUUGGUGCACGUUGGACAAACUUCAUCUCGGCCAAUGCCGAUGUUUGGUGGCGCUAUAGAGCUCCUGAACCACGCCAAAGUCCAGCCUCUAUGGAACUUUACAAUUUUCGCCGAGUUUGAGGCCUGUGCCAAAAUGCGUGAGUUUUCGAGUAUCGGAAAUGCCUCAAAAAUGGACGCAAAGAGGCAGAAUAAUAAUAAUAAUAAUAAUAAUAAUAAUAAUAAACGGACCAAAAACAAUAGGGCUUUGCACCUCCGGUGCAGGCUUCGCCUGCGCCUUCGGUGCUCGGGCCCUAAUAAUAAUAAACGGACCAAAAACAAUAGGGCUUUGCACCUCCGGUGCAGGCUUCGCCUGCGCCUUCGGUGCUCGGGCCCUAAAAAUUGGCUUUUACAUAUAGUGUGAACGCUGUUUAGUGAUUCAGGCUAAAGGAUGAAACCGAAACUUCACAUGAAGCGCUGCUGAGCACCAGUUAUACAGUGUGAACAGCCUGAAACAUUGGGUUUGGUAAGAAAAUCUCACCAGAUUUAGAGCCUUUUCACCUGCUGUGUGAACCGGUGGGGGUUCUAUUAUGGUUCUAUGACUUGGUAUUUAAAUCACAAGAGAACUUUCUCUACUGCUUUCAUCUGUUGAUAAGCACUCAUUUACACCACACACACACCCAUAUACAUACAUACAUACACACACACACACACCCCCCACACUGUGAGGAGGCUAGAGGGAGAAAACCCAAGAUACGUUUUAUAUUUAUUCUUAUUAAUGCAAGUAAAAUCAUCUGAAAAUGAUCCGGUCUUUAAAACGUAUUUUAAUACCAGGUGUAAACAGUCUCUAAAACAGAUUUAUUUUAUUUAUAUUUGCAUUUACAUUUUUCCUCAAUUCCAUUUAGGAAAUUUACAACUUGACACCAUUCGAUUAAUCAAUCUUUUUUUAGUUUUUUUAGAAAGACAAAGUUUGAACUGAAGAACUGGAUUAAAAAUAUCUACUUUUACAUUUAAAAUCUCUGCAUCCAUUUCUUUCUGCUCCUCCCGUUCUUGCUUUUAUCCCGUUCCUCCUCUUCCUCCUGCAGUUUUCUCUUUGCUCUCUUUUCAUUACUGCUCCUCCAUUACUGUGGUUGCUCCAUCAAAUUGCCUUUUGCCUUUUGAGUUUGUUUUUGUUUUUCUUUUAAUGAAAAUAUACAAUUUAAAACAUUAAAAUUUUAACUUAAUUUUUUAUGUUUUAAGAGCUUUUUUUAAUCAAAGGGUUUUUUUUAACAAUCUAAUAGUGUAGUAAUUGCUGGUGUUUGCAGUAACAGUUGAUUACAGAAAAGUCGAAUGAACUGUAAAUCAAAUAUUCAAAGGCAUACACUGCAUAUAUAUGUGUAAUAUAAAAAUAAAAAAAUACUACACACACAAAUACACACUUAUGCAUGUAAAGUUUGGGCACCUCUGGUUAAGAUGUGUUAAAGUAUUUAGGUAACAGCUAAAUUGGUUAAAGACCAUUACCUGAUUUCUCUUCUCUUAAAGGCGUAAAUAAAUGAUGACCUGUUUUUAAAAUAUUUUAGGAUUUAAGAGUACUUUCAUCUUUUGCAGGUGUGUUUAGGAUUGAUAAAUAUCCUGCAAAUGGGAGUCAUCCUCUUUUUAUAUCGUUGGCUCUUUUUCAAUGAUGUGAUGUAUGCUCUAGAAUUUGCUGGUGCUUAAUUAAAUAUUUUCUUCCAUUUACCGCUGACUGUACUCCAAGGCCAGCGUCUGAUUGAUUCAGCCACAUGCUUAAAUUUGAGGUGUUCUUUUCAGCAAAUUCCACACAAGCAUACCUUUGGCUCAUUGUGGCCAAAAAACUCCUCUAUUGCAACUUCAUCGGUCCACAGGACCUGAUUCCAGAGGCUGAAUUUGAGUCUGAGGAUUGUGUUGCUGCACAGUAGAAUAGUGCCUGUGCAUCACUAUGAAACAGUCUGCUGUAAAUCUGUAUUUUUAAUGUAUAGACCUCAACUAUUCCUGUAAAGUAGCAUUUCUUGAAUACAUUUCAAAGUGAAAAAAUGUCAAUGUCAUUUAUAUCGUGUAGCAGAAAUCAAUUAGAAGUUAGAUUUUUAGAAAGCUGUGCUAGGCAGGUGCUUAGAGGAGCCCAUCGCUUAUAUUGUAAAGUAUUGUAAAGAAUUUGCAUCAUCUAAACUAUGAUUUUGAACAAUCCUAUUAAUUUGUUACAAAAAUGAAUUCAUGAAAGCUCAAAUCACUUGGAUUGCACUUAGUUGUCCAUCUCCAAAAAAGCAACUUUACAGGAGAGAGGAAAAACCUUCUAAACUUUCAAUGAAACUCAAUGUAAAAAGAGUUUAUUUCAGGUCAUUUUUAAGUAUUUCUAUUGCUCUAUUCAUAAAGACAUUUUGCCACAGUGUAAGGGACAGUUUGUCGGUUCAAAUUAUGUAGUAAAUCUAAAAUCGACAAAAAGGGAGAUUACUUGUUUUUCAUCGGACGGCAAUGAUAUAUUAAGAAUAUACAGCUCUGGACAAAAUGAAACAAUCAUUUCAUUUUCUGAAUCAGAUUAUCUGAUUGUCCCAAAUUACUAAUUAAAAAUAUUGUCAUUUAGAGCAAUUAUUUGCAGAAAAUGAGAAAUGGCUGAAAAAAUGUCUGAAAAAGAUGCAGAGCUUUCAGACCUCAAAUAAUGCAAAGAAAACAAGUUAAAAUUCAAAGUUUUAAGAGUUCAGAAAUCAAUAUUUGGUGGAAUAACCCUGUUUUUUAAUCACAGUUUUCAUCAUGCAUCUUGGCAUCAUGUUCUCCUCCACCAGUCUUACACACUGCUUUUGGAUAACUUUAAGCCUUUACUCCUGGUGCAAAAAUUAAAGCAGUUCAGUUUGGUUUGAUGGCUUGUGAUCAUCCAUCUUCCUCUUGAUUAUAUUCCAGAGGUUUUUUAAUUUGGUAAAAUCAAUAAAGAAACUCAUCGUUUUUAAGUGAUCUCUUUUUUUUUUCCAGAGCUGUAUAUACAAUGAUCUUGCUUAAUACGUUUGGAAGGGGGAAAAAAAAGUGUCGUCUUUAAUUUGAAUGUUAACUUUUAGGGAAAUCAGCUCACUUUUUUUUUAUACUUUUGUACUUUUGACCAGGGGUGCCCCAAUCUGUGCAUGCCUAAGAUAUACACCAAUCAAACAUAACAUUAUGACCACCUUCUUGCUUCUACACCCAUAUUAUUUUAAAUCUUUUUCCCAGCUCCUCUGAUGAUGCUGUCGACAGGACCCUGUUGGUGGACUAUUUUCCAUUAUUGUCCAGCAGCACUGCUAAUGACUACAACCUAAAUAAUCUAAAUAAUACGUAAUACAGAAGCUGCUCUCUGUGGUCUGUAAUUAUUAUCAUUAUUUAUUAUUAUUAUUAUUAUUAUUAUUAUAGAACUACAAAGUGGUGCUCCUCAUAUAUGCUUUAAUAAGGAGGUGGUCAAUGUUAUUUUUGAUUGGUAUAUAUUGUGUGUAUGUGUAUAUGAUUUUAUAUGUUCAGCCAGAAAAAAAAAAAAAAAGUGUGUUUUGUUCGAUAGGUACUUGAAAUAUUUGGUGAUCCUGUUUUUUAUAUAUAUAUAUAUAUAUAUAUAUAUAUAUAUAUUAAUUAUUAUUAUUAUUAUUUUUUUCUUUGUUGGGUUUUAUUUUUUUUUUUUGGGGGGGGGAUUUGUAUGUAUUUACAGUAGUGUUUUCAGAUUUCAGAUUUUAAACUGUGCCUGUGAGAAUGAACGGGCGCUCCAUUGCAGUAAGGGUUUGAUUGCAGGCAGGAGAAUGGCUACGGAUGAAUGAAUGUAACCCUUGUUUACGCAUACACUCGCUCAGACACACUCGCUCAUACAUGCACACACAUCUGUAUAUACACACACACACACACACACGAGUGUCGCUCACACCCUCAUGUACUGCAUUUCUUUUAUUCUUCCUUUUCUCGCUCUCUUUUUAUUCUUCAUACUCACGAGACGAACACACUCUCUUCUAGUUUUAUGCAUCAUUCAGGUGUACUUUUUUUCUUUUCUUUUUUUUUUAAAUAUAGAUUUUUUUUUUAACAAAACCCAUCCCCCCUUUUUCUCUACAGAAACUCUAGUGCUGUGGAGGCCAAGUUUUUAUUUUAUUUUUAUUUUUAUUUGAUUUCAUUUUAUUUUAUUUAGUUUUUUGGCGCUUACUGAUUAUUCAUUGACCUCACCUGAUUUGGUGUGUAGCUUUAAAAAUGCCUGUUAACUAAAUAUUGAAUUGAAAUAUUGAAUUAGAUGAUUGAUUAAUUGAUUGAUUGAUUGAUUGUUUAUUUGUUUAUGUAUGUAUAUAUAUUUUUGCAGUUGUAUUAUUUUAUUUUUCUUUUUUGUUCUUGUUGUUUAUCCCACUGGUACACACACACACACACACACACAAACCUGUAGCCAUAUGCUGGAAAAGCUUAAUUUUAUUAUGGAUAGGAGUUCAAUUUACUAAAUGAUUUGCAAUUGAAAUGUUUAAAGAUUAUAUAUUUUGUGCUGUGGGUGCCAAAGGGCAAGCACCUGCGUUUUUUGUACAUCUACAAUUAUUGAUGAAUAGAAUGAUUCUUGUGACAGAUAUUUUAUUUAUUCAGAAGAUUUGGCUUUAUGAGAUGUGCUAUGUGAGAGGGGGAGGGGCUUGUGACGGGAGCUGGGAGGGAGGGAGGGAGGGACACUGCUGGCCCAAUCUGUUUUAGAUGAAUCUCUCUUGACCUCUUCGUUCUUUCUCUCUCCCUCUUUCAGUCUCUCUCUUUUCCUUUUUAUGAUCUCCCUACUUUCCAAAAUCUUUCUCUUUUAUUCUUUUUUUUAUCUCUCUAUUUCCUCUCUCUCAGAUCUUCUCUCUCUAAUUAAAUCCUUGUAACGAUAGCCCCCAGUAUGAUGUUGUGAUGUUUCAUUAGCAUACAGUGAUGAACCUGAUCUGUUAUCAAUAAAGGAUUGCUAAAGGUUGAUGUUAAUACCA